UCAAUACUCCCUCCGUCCGAAAAAGCUUGUCCCAAGCUUGUUUCUCAAAUGGAUGUAUCUAGCACUAACUUGGUGCUAGAUACAUCCAUUUGAGGGACAAGUUUUUCCGGACGGAGGGAGUACAAC
Non-coding RNA from Triticum urartu, 126 nucleotides. NCBI's taxonomy places the organism in Eukaryota, Viridiplantae, Streptophyta, Magnoliopsida, Poales, Poaceae. The record is from Rfam.